RNAcentral lists this non-coding RNA (669 nucleotides) under Homo sapiens (human). The record is from RNAcentral. Lineage: Eukaryota; Metazoa; Chordata; Mammalia; Primates; Hominidae.
ACAGUAUUACUGAAGUCUUCACUAACAUCUACGUGACCAGUUUUGGCCCUGUCUCAGAUACAGAUAUGGAAUAUACAAUUGAUGUUUUCUUUCGACAAAAAUGGAAAGAUGAACGUUUAAAAUUUAAAGGUCCUAUGAAUAUCCUUCGACUAAACAAUUUAAUGGCUAGCAAAAUCUGGACUCCAGAUACCUUUUUUCACAAUGGGAAAAAAUCAGUAGCUCAUAAUAUGACAAUGCCAAAUAAGUUGCUUCGAAUUCAGGAUGAUGGGACUCUGCUGUAUACCAUGAGGCUUACAGUUCAAGCUGAAUGCCCAAUGCACUUGGAGGAUUUCCCAAUGGAUGCUCAUUCAUGUCCUCUGAAAUUUGGCAGCUAUGCAUAUACAACUUCAGAGGUCACUUAUAUUUGGACUUACAAUGCAUCUGAUUCAGUACAGGUUGCUCCUGAUGGCUCUAGGUUAAAUCAAUAUGACCUGCUGGGCCAAUCAAUCGGAAAGGAGACAAUUAAAUCCAGUACAGGUGAAUAUACUGUAAUGACAGCUCAUUUCCACCUGAAAAGAAAAAUUGGGUAUUUUGUGAUUCAAACCUAUCUGCCUUGCAUCAUGACUGUCAUUCUCUCCCAAGUUUCAUUCUGGCUUAACAGAGAAUCUGUGCCUGCAAGAACUGUGUUUG